UACGGGAGGCAGCAGUGGGGAAUAUUGCACAAUGGGCGCAAGCCUGAUGCAGCCAUGCCGCGUGUAUGAAAAAGGCCUUCGGGUUGUAAAGUACUUUCAGUCGUGAGGAAGGUGUUAAGGUUAAUAACCUUAGCAAUUGACGUUAGCGACAGAAGAAGCACCGGCUAACUCCGUGCCAGCAGCCGCGGUAAUACGGAGGGUGCGAGCGUUAAUCGGAAUUACUGGGCGUAAAGGGCACGCAGGCGGUUAAUUAAGUUGGAUGUGAAAUCCCCGGGCUUAACCUGGGAAUGGCAUUCAAGACUGGUUAGCUAGAGUCUUGUAGAGGGGGUUAGAAUUCCAUGUGUAGCGGUGAAAUGCGUAGAGAUGUGGAGGAAUACCGGUGGCGAAGGCGGCCCCUGGACAAAGGACUGACGCUCAUGUGCGAAAGCGUGGGGAGCAAAC
Molecule: ribosomal RNA, 441 nt
Filed under: uncultured bacterium
Lineage: Bacteria
Description: bacterial SSU rRNA
Rfam family: Bacterial small subunit ribosomal RNA
Source: RNAcentral